This 63-nucleotide transfer RNA is filed under the name Metacrangonyx longipes. Its description in RNAcentral is "transfer RNA-Ile". Lineage: Eukaryota; Metazoa; Arthropoda; Malacostraca; Amphipoda; Metacrangonyctidae. The record is from RNAcentral.
GAUAGUAUAAUCUAAGUAAGAUAUUUCAUUGAUAGAGAAAAUAUAGAUUAAUUCUUACUAUUA